Molecule: small nuclear RNA, 106 nt
Filed under: Dasypus novemcinctus (nine-banded armadillo)
Lineage: Eukaryota; Metazoa; Chordata; Mammalia; Cingulata; Dasypodidae
Source: RNAcentral
GUGCUGCUUCAGCAGCACAUAUACUAAAUUUGGAAUAAUAGAGAGAAAAUUAGCAUGGUCCCGGUACAAGGAUGGCAUGCAAAUUUGUGAAGCAUUCCAUAUUUUU